RNAcentral lists this ribosomal RNA (465 nucleotides) under uncultured Klebsiella sp. RNAcentral's name for it is "bacterial SSU rRNA". It matches the Rfam family "Bacterial small subunit ribosomal RNA", at positions 338 to 795 of the family's 1533-position model. The record is from RNAcentral. Lineage: Bacteria; Pseudomonadati; Pseudomonadota; Gammaproteobacteria; Enterobacterales; Enterobacteriaceae.
CCUACGGGUGGCAGCAGUGGGGAAUAUUGCACAAUGGGCGCAAGCCUGAUGCAGCCAUGCCGCGUGUGUGAAGAAGGCCUUCGGGUUGUAAAGCACUUUCAGCGGGGAGGAAGGCGGUGAGGUUAAUAACCUCAUCGAUUGACGUUACCCGCAGAAGAAGCACCGGCUAACUCCGUGCCAGCAGCCGCGGUAAUACGGAGGGUGCAAGCGUUAAUCGGAAUUACUGGGCGUAAAGCGCACGCAGGCGGUCUGUCAAGUCGGAUGUGAAAUCCCCGGGCUCAACCUGGGAACUGCAUUCGAAACGGGCAGGCUAGAGUCUUGUAGAGGGGGGUAGAAUUCCAGGUGUAGCGGUGAAAUGCGUAGAGAUCUAGAGGAAUACCGGUGGCGAAGGCGGCCCCCUGGACAAAGACUGACGCUCAGGUGCGAAAGCGUGGGGAGCAAACAGGAUUAGAUACCCCAGUAGUC